AUUGAACGCUGGCGGCAUGCCUUACACAUGCAAGUCGAACGGUAACAGGUCUUCGGAUGCUGACGAGUGGCGAACGGGUGAGUAAUACAUCGGAACGUGCCUAGUAGUGGGGGAUAACUACUCGAAAGAGUGGCUAAUACCGCAUGAGAUCUACGGAUGAAAGCAGGGGAUCGCAAGACCUUGUGCUACUAGAGCGGCCGAUGGCAGAUUAGGUAGUUGGUGGGAUAAAAGCUUACCAAGCCGACGAUCUGUAGCUGGUCUGAGAGGACGAUCAGCCCCAGUAGUACAUAGACACGGCCCAGACUCCUACGCGAGGCAGCAGUGGGGAAUUUUUGACAAUGGGCGCAAUCCUGAUCCAGCAAUGCCGCGUGCAGGAUGAAGGCCUUCGGGUUGUAAACUGCUUUUGUACGGAACGAAAAGCCCCGGGUUAAUACCCUGGGGUCAUGACGGUACCGUAAGAAUAAGCACCGGCUAACUACGUGCCAGCAGCCGCCGUAA
This 498-nucleotide ribosomal RNA is filed under the name uncultured bacterium. Its description in RNAcentral is "partial 16S ribosomal RNA". It matches the Rfam family "Bacterial small subunit ribosomal RNA", at positions 30 to 523 of the family's 1533-position model. The record is from RNAcentral.